This 465-nucleotide ribosomal RNA is filed under the name uncultured bacterium. Its description in RNAcentral is "partial 16S ribosomal RNA". It matches the Rfam family "Bacterial small subunit ribosomal RNA", at positions 338 to 795 of the family's 1533-position model. The record is from RNAcentral.
CCUACGGGAGGCAGCAGUGGGGAAUAUUGCGCAAUGGGCGAAAGCCUGACGCAGCGACGCCGCGUGAGGGAUGAAGGUCUUCGGAUCGUAAACCUCUGUCAGCAGGGAAGAACGGUCACUGUGCUAAUCAGCAGUGAAUUGACGGUACCUGCAAAGGAAGCACCGGCUAACUCCGUGCCAGCAGCCGCGGUAAUACGGAGGGUGCGAGCGUUAAUCGGAAUUACUGGGCGUAAAGCGCUCGUAGGCGGUAUGUCAAGUCAAGGGUGAAAUCCCCGCGCUCAACGUGGGAACUGCCUUUGAAACUGGCAAACUGGAGUGUUGGAGAGGAUAGUAGAAUUCCAGGUGUAGGGGUGAAAUGCGUAGAGAUGUGGAGGAACACCGGUGGCGAAGGCGACUACCUGGAACAUAACUGACGCGCAGGAGCGAAAGCGUGGGUAGCAAACAGGAUUAGAUACCCGAGUAGUC